Molecule: ribosomal RNA, 433 nt
Filed under: uncultured bacterium
Lineage: Bacteria
Description: partial 16S ribosomal RNA
Rfam family: Bacterial small subunit ribosomal RNA
Source: RNAcentral
AACGAACGCUGGCGGCAUGCCUAACACAUGCAAGUCGAGCGAGACCUUCGGGUCUAGUGGCGCACGGGUGCGUCACGCGUGGGAACCUGCCCUUAGGUUCGGAAUAACUCCCCGAAAGGGGUGCUAAUACCGGAUAAUGUCUUCGGACCAAAGAUUUAUCGCCUUUGGAUGGGCCCGCGUUGGAUUAGCUCGUUGGUAGGGUAAAAGCCUACCAAGGCGACGAUCCAUAGCUGGUCUGAGAGGAUGAUCAGCCACACUGGGACUGGGACACGGCCCAGACUCCUACGGGAGGCAGCAGUGGGGAAUGGUGGACCAUGGGCGGAAGCCUGAGCCAGCAAUGCCGGGAGAGUGAUGAAGGCAUUAGGGUUGUAAAGCUCUUUUACCCGGGAUGAUAAUGACAGUACCGGGAGAAUAAGCUCCGGCUAACUCCGUG